AUGGGGACGAAGAAGCCGUGGCUCCUCUGCCUCGCCGUCGUUGCCAUCGCGGCCGUCCUUCUGACCGCUUCGGCCAAGAAGUCCGCGGAUGUUACACAGCUCCAGAUCGGCGUCAAGUACAAGCCUGAAUCAUGUACCCUACAGGCUCACAAAGGUGACAAGAUUAAAGUGCAUUAUCGUGGGACACUCACUGAUGGAUCAGUAUUUGACUCUAGCUAUGACAGAGGUGAUCCCUUCGAAUUCACUCUUGGGAAUGGGCAGGUGAUAAAAGGUUGGGACCAAGGUUUACUAGGUAUGUGUGUCGGCGAAAAGCGGAAGCUAAGAAUACCCGCAAACAUGGGUUACGGCGAGCGAGGCUCCCCACCAAAGAUUCCAGGUGGUGCAACUCUGGUUUUCGACACGGAGCUCAUCGCCGUCAAUGGGAAGACAUCUGCUGGCGCCACCGCGGAGGGUGACGACAGCGAGCUUUGA
Molecule: ribosomal RNA, 471 nt
Filed under: Triticum aestivum (bread wheat)
Lineage: Eukaryota; Viridiplantae; Streptophyta; Magnoliopsida; Poales; Poaceae
Description: partial small subunit ribosomal RNA
Source: RNAcentral